RNAcentral lists this long non-coding RNA (724 nucleotides) under Nicotiana benthamiana. Its description in RNAcentral is "long non-coding RNA (NBEN_LNC040489)". Lineage: Eukaryota; Viridiplantae; Streptophyta; Magnoliopsida; Solanales; Solanaceae. The record is from RNAcentral.
CAUUCGAAACUAACAAGUGUCGGGUCGGGGAUUUCUGCCUUGUUAUCAAAAAGGGAGUUGGGAAAAGCAAACUCUCUCCUUGGAGGAGCACGGGCUUAGUCAAGUAGAACCGAGUUGCGCUACUUGAUGCUUCGAUCGAAAAUAAAUCAGUGGGGCCAUGCCGGUACGACUGAAUAUGCGUUAGAAAGGUCAAUCCCUCCCCUACGACACCAAAAAAACCGGGCCGAACUUCUAAACCGCCCGCUUCCAUAGAACAAUAUCGUGGCAACGUAGACCUAAGUGGUCACAUUGGAUCCUUGGGAACCAUCACAAGUACGGCCGGCCUAUGUAUAUUUGAACGAAAAUUCCGUGUCGUCUAGCGGAGCCUAGAAGAAGGUGACUCGCGCAGACAGCUUACUCCUUUUCAAUAGAAAAGAAUAGCCAAACCAACCCAGCUGGCUGGUCAAUCUCAGAGAUCUUAUCGGCCGGCAAACCGGAGACGGACGACCACGGUCCCGGCCUUACCAGCACCGGAGGUGUACUAAUCAAUGAACCCACGAAACCAACUUUCUUUUAUGACAAAAUAAACCAAGCCUAAGCGGUCACGGGACGACCACGGCCCCGGCCUUACCAGCACCGGAGGUGUACUGAUCAAUGAACCCAUGAAACCAACUUUCUUUUAUGACAAAAUAAACCAAGACUAAGCGGUCACGACAUCUUGUUGAUAUUGAUUGAGGAGUUUGAU